UGGGGAAUUUUGGACAAUGGGCGCAAGCCUGAUCCAGCCAUGCCGCGUGCAGGAUGAAGGCCUUCGGGUUGUAAACUGCUUUUUGUACGGAACGAAAAGACUCUGGUUAAUACCUGGGGUCCAUGACGGUACCGUAAGAAUAAGCACCGGCUAACUACGUGCCAGCAGCCGCGGUAAUACGUAGGGUGCGAGCGUUAAUCGGAAUUACUGGGCGUAAAGCGUGCGCAGGCGGUUAUAUAAGACAGAUGUGAAAUCCCCGGGCUCAACCUGGGAACUGCAUUUGUGACUGUAUAGCUAGAGUACGGCAGAGGGGGAUGGAAUUCCGCGUGUAGCAGUGAAAUGCGUAGAUAUGCGGAGGAACACCGAUGGCGAAGGCAAUCCCCUGGGCCUGUACUGACGCUCAUGCACGAAAGCGUGGGGAGCAAACAGGAUUAGAUACCCCUGUAGUCCCUGAGCGGGCUGGCAAGGCGCAU
RNAcentral lists this ribosomal RNA (473 nucleotides) under uncultured bacterium. Its description in RNAcentral is "bacterial SSU rRNA". It matches the Rfam family "Bacterial small subunit ribosomal RNA", at positions 355 to 825 of the family's 1533-position model. The record is from RNAcentral.